UACAGAGGGUGCGAGCGUUAAUCGGAGUUACUGGGCGUAAAGGGCGCGUAGGCGGUUAUGUAGGUGUGAUGUGAAAGCCCCGGGCUUAACCUGGGAAGCGCAUCGCAAACGAUAUGACUGGAGUAUAUGAGAGGGUGGCGGAAUUUCCGGUGUAGCGGUGAAAUGCGUAGAGAUCGGAAGGAACGUCAAUGGCGAAGGCAGCCACCUGGCAUAAUACUGACGCUGAGGCGCGAAAGCGUGGGGAGCGAACAGG
Molecule: ribosomal RNA, 253 nt
Filed under: uncultured bacterium
Lineage: Bacteria
Description: partial 16S ribosomal RNA
Rfam family: Bacterial small subunit ribosomal RNA
Source: RNAcentral